UUAACAGUUACUUGCAGUCUUCAGACUCUUCACAUCCCUGUGAACAUUUAUCGACAGUUAUUAAUUGAUUAUUUAGACUUCAGUCAGUAUAUAAGGAUCUGUUUAUUUGUUCACUGGAAAGCAUUGAAGGAAACAUCUUCCAAGUCCAGAGAUAAAUGGGAAAAAGUU
Molecule: long non-coding RNA, 168 nt
Organism: Daphnia pulicaria
Lineage: Eukaryota; Metazoa; Arthropoda; Branchiopoda; Diplostraca; Daphniidae
Exons: 3
Source: RefSeq, a predicted model, not a curated record